RNAcentral lists this ribosomal RNA (2456 nucleotides) under Salmonella enterica subsp. enterica serovar Mississippi. RNAcentral's name for it is "partial 23S ribosomal RNA". It matches the Rfam family "Bacterial large subunit ribosomal RNA". Lineage: Bacteria; Pseudomonadati; Pseudomonadota; Gammaproteobacteria; Enterobacterales; Enterobacteriaceae. The record is from RNAcentral.
AAGCCAGUGGUGAACUCCACAUACGCAUCCUUUGCUGAGGAUACGGUUAACGGAGCGAAAGCGACGUUCAACCGCAAAAGAAGCAGAGGGGGCUUAGUGGUGGGGUGACUGCGUACCUUUUGUAUAAUGGGUCAGCGACUUAUAUUCUGUAGCAAGGUUAACCGUAUAGGGGAGCCGCAGGGAAACCGAGUCUUAAUUGGGCGUUAAGUUGCAGGGUAUAGACCCGAAACCCGGUGAUCUAGCCAUGGGCAGGUUGAAGGUUGGGUAACACUAACUGGAGGACCGAACCGACUAAUGUUGAAAAAUUAGCGGAUGACCUGUGGCUGGGGGUGAAAGGCCAAUCAAACCGGGAGAUAGCUGGUUCUCCCCGAAAGCUAUUUAGGUAGCGCCUCGUGAAUUCAUCUCCGGGGGUAGAGCACUGUUUCGGCUAGGGGGCCAUCCCGGCUUACCAACCCGAUGCAAACUGCGAAUACCGGAGAAUGUUAUCACGGGAGACACACGGCGGGUGCUAACGUCCGUCGUGAAGAGGGAAACAACCCAGACCGCCAGCUAAGGUCCCAAAGUCAUGGUUAAGUGGGAAACGAUGUGGGAAGGCCCAGACAGCCAGGAUGUUGGCUUAGAAGCAGCCAUCAUUUAAAGAAAGCGUAAUAGCUCACUGGUCGAGUCGGCCUGCGCGGAAGAUGUAACGGGGCUAAACCAUGCACCGAAGCUGCGGCAGCGACGCUUAUGCGUUGCUGGGUAGGGGAGCGUUCUGUAAGCCUGCGAAGGUGGCCUGUGAGGGUUGCUGGAGGUAUCAGAAGUGCGAAUGCUGACAUAAGUAACGAUAAAGCGGGUGAAAAGCCCGCUCGCCGGAAGACCAAGGGUUCCUGUCCAACGUUAAUCGGGGCAGGGUGAGUCGACCCCUAAGGCGAGGCCGAAAGGCGUAGUCGAUGGGAAACGGGUUAAUAUUCCCGUACUUGGUGUUACUGCGAAGGGGGGACGGAGAAGGCUAUGUUGGCCGGGCGACGGUUGUCCCGGUUUAAGCGUGUAGGUGUGUGUUCCAGGUAAAUCCGGUUCACUUUAACACUGAGGCGUGACGACGAGGCACUACGGUGCUGAAGCAACAAAUGCCCUGCUUCCAGGAAAAGCCUCUAAGCAUCAGGUAACAUCAAAUCGUACCCCAAACCGACACAGGUGGUCAGGUAGAGAAUACCAAGGCGCUUGAGAGAACUCGGGUGAAGGAACUAGGCAAAAUGGUGCCGUAACUUCGGGAGAAGGCACGCUGACACGUAGGUGAAGUGAUUUACUCAUGGAGCUGAAGUCAGUCGAAGAUACCAGCUGGCUGCAACUGUUUAUUAAAAACACAGCACUGUGCAAACACGAAAGUGGACGUAUACGGUGUGACGCCUGCCCGGUGCCGGAAGGUUAAUUGAUGGGGUCAGCGCAAGCGAAGCUCCUGAUCGAAGCCCCGGUAAACGGCGGCCGUAACUAUAACGGUCCUAAGGUAGCGAAAUUCCUUGUCGGGUAAGUUCCGACCUGCACGAAUGGCGUAAUGAUGGCCAGGCUGUCUCCACCCGAGACUCAGUGAAAUUGAACUCGCUGUGAAGAUGCAGUGUACCCGCGGCAAGACGGAAAGACCCCGUGAACCUUUACUAUAGCUUGACACUGAACACUGGUCCUUGAUGUGUAGGAUAGGUGGGAGGCUUUGAAGUGUGGACGCCAGUCUGCAUGGAGCCAUCCUUGAAAUACCACCCUUUAAUGGCUGGUGUUCUAACGUAGACCCGUAAUCCGGGUUGCGGACAGUGUCUGGUGGGUAGUUUGACUGGGGCGGUCUCCUCCUAAAGAGUAACGGAGGAGCACGAAGGUUGGCUAAUCCUGGUCGGACAUCAGGAGGUUAGUGCAAUGGCAUAAGCCAGCUUGACUGCGAGCGUGACGGCGCGAGCAGGUGCGAAAGCAGGUCAUAGUGAUCCGGUGGUUCUGAAUGGAAGGGCCAUCGCUCAACGGAUAAAAGGUACUCCGGGGAUAACAGGCUGAUACCGCCCAAGAGUUCAUAUCGACGGCGGUGUUUGGCACCUCGAUGUCGGCUCAUCACAUCCUGGGGCUGAAGUAGGUCCCAAGGGUAUGGCUGUUCGCCAUUUAAAGUGGUACGCGAGCUGGGUUUAGAACGUCGUGAGACAGUUCGGUCCCUAUCUGCCGUGGGCGCUGGAGAACUGAGGGGGGCUGCUCCUAGUACGAGAGGACCGGAGUGGACGCAUCACUGGUGUUCGGGUUGUCAUGCCAAUGGCACUGCCCGGUAGCUAAAUGCGGAAGAGAUAAGUGCUGAAAGCAUCUAAGCACGAAACUUGCCCCGAGAUGAGUUCUCCCUGAGACUUAGAGUCUCCUGAAGGAACGUUGAAGACGACGACGUUGAUAGGCCGGGUGUGUAAGCGCAGCGAUGCGUUGAGCUAACCGGUACUAAUGAACCGUGAGGCUUAACC